This is a non-coding RNA of Otolemur garnettii (small-eared galago), 45 nucleotides long. The record is from Rfam. NCBI's taxonomy places the organism in Eukaryota, Metazoa, Chordata, Mammalia, Primates, Galagidae.
CAAAGGGUUUUUUUAAAAACCAUUGGUUGUAUAUGAUAAAAGAUU